Molecule: ribosomal RNA, 621 nt
Filed under: uncultured bacterium
Lineage: Bacteria
Description: bacterial SSU rRNA
Rfam family: Bacterial small subunit ribosomal RNA
Source: RNAcentral
CCAGCAUGCGCGUGUGGGAUGAAGGCCCUCGGGUUGUAAACCACUUUUGGCAGGAAAGAAAUCGCCUGUGCUAAUACCAUGGGCGGAUGACGGUACCUGCAGAAUAAGCACCGGCUAACUACGUGCCAGCAGCCGCGGUAAUACGUAGGGUGCGAGCGUUAAUCGGAAUUACUGGGCGUAAAGCGUGCGCAGGCGGUUUUGUAAGACAGAUGUGAAAUCCCCGGGCUUAACCUGGGAACUGCAUUUGUGACUGCAAGACUAGAGUGUGUCAGAGGGAGGUGGAAUUCCGCGUGUAGCAGUGAAAUGCGUAGAGAUGCGGAAGAACACCGAUGGCGAAGGCAGCCUCCUGGGAUAACACUGACGCUCAGGCACGAAAGCGUGGGGAGCAAACAGGAUUAGAUACCCUGGUAGUCCACGCCCUAAACGAUGUCAACUGGUUGUUGGACGGCUUGCUGUUCAGUAACGAAGCUAACGCGUGAAGUUGACCGCCUGGGGAGUACGGNCGCAAGGUUGAAAACUCAAAGGAAUUGACGGGGAACCGCACAAGCGGUGGAUGAUGUGGAUUAAUUCCGAUGCCACGGCGAAAAAACUUAACUUAACCUUGGACAUGUACGGAAACCU